Molecule: long non-coding RNA, 278 nt
Organism: Rattus norvegicus (Norway rat)
Lineage: Eukaryota; Metazoa; Chordata; Mammalia; Rodentia; Muridae
Source: RefSeq, a predicted model, not a curated record
AGGAAGUAGGAAGCAAAAUGGUCCGUGUGGAACACGCCCUCCCUGACCACCAGACCUGAGCUUCUCAAUUCUCUACUGUGAAGUAAGCCACGCCCGCCAAACCACAAGGAGAGGCACUAAUUAACCAAAAAUAAAAUACUUUAAGAAAUGUAGCUGGAAAAUAGCAAACGGUUCCAGCAACCAGAGGCUAAGAAACAGGGAUCAAGGAAAUUGAACUUCUUGGCGGCAAGAAGCUUUUCUUGUUGAGCCAUCUCACCAACCUGAGAGUCAUUAAGUAA